GACGAACGCUGGCGGCGUGCUUAACACACGCAAGUCGAACGUGAUUUUUGUGGAAAUUCUUUCGGGAAUGGAAAUGAAAUGAAAGUGGCGAACGGGUGAGUAACACGUGAGCAACCUACCUUACACAGGGGGAUAGCCGUUGGAAACGACGAUUAAUACCGCAUGAGACCACAGAAUCGCAUGAUAUAGGGGUCAAAGAUUUAUCGGUGUAAGAAGGGCUCGCGUCUGAUUAGCUAGUUGGAAGGGUAAAGGCCUACCAAGGCGACGAUCAGUAGCCGGUCUGAGAGGAUGAACGGCCACAUUGGAACUGAGACACGGUCCAAACUCCUACGGGAGGCAGCAGUGGGGAAUAUUGCACAAUGGGGGGAACCCUGAUGCAGCGACGCCGCGUGAGCGAAGAAGGUUUUCGAAUCGUAAAGCUCUGUCCUAUGAGAAGAUAANGACGGU
Molecule: ribosomal RNA, 447 nt
Filed under: uncultured bacterium
Lineage: Bacteria
Description: bacterial SSU rRNA
Rfam family: Bacterial small subunit ribosomal RNA
Source: RNAcentral